Molecule: long non-coding RNA, 609 nt
Filed under: Pongo abelii (Sumatran orangutan)
Lineage: Eukaryota; Metazoa; Chordata; Mammalia; Primates; Hominidae
Description: lncRNA (ENSPPYG00000039501.1)
Source: RNAcentral
GGAUAUGCCACCUGUUAUUGGCCUUAGCGUUCUUAUGUGUUGCAUGACUGUAUUGAGGUUUGAGGACAAGCCCUGCUAGAAAUAAACUGUUUAUUCUUUUUUGACUGCAUUAUGUUUAUAUCAUCCCAAGGGACUUUGCUCAAGUUUUUCCAGAUCUCCAUGCUCUGUGGAUGAAGACUUCCUUCAAGUUUUCUGGAGCCUGAGCUUAUGGACAUAAUGUCAUGAAAGCAGGAUAGUGCUGCACAUGUAUCUGCUUCUUACUGUGAGACCUUGGGCAAGUUAUCAAUACUCUGUGCCUCAGUGAUUAGCACAUGGCAAGUGUGCAAAUGCCAGGCAGUCCAGAAACCUUCACUGCACUCAGGUGAGAAACGCGAAAAGUUUUUCCUCAAGAUUUUCAAUAGAAGCAACAACUGGAAUAAACCAGACUUGUCAUGGAACAAUUUUCACCAUAUGGGGCCCUGAUGCCUCACUGAGCAGGACUGUCAGGCCUGAGAAAGAAGAGAAUGUCACCUGGGCUCUUCGGAGUUGUCAGAAAUAGAUAUUCAUCGAGGUUACCUCUAGCAAUGGAAAAUCAGCUGUGAGGCUACAUGUGGAAAUAAGAAAAACAUA